This 207-nucleotide long non-coding RNA is filed under the name Elaeis guineensis (African oil palm). Its description in RNAcentral is "long non-coding RNA (EGUI_LNC063826)". Lineage: Eukaryota; Viridiplantae; Streptophyta; Magnoliopsida; Arecales; Arecaceae. The record is from RNAcentral.
CAUGAGUAGGAUUUAAGAACCAUACGAUAAAUCUUUCUUUAUCAUUUUGGAAGUAGCUCUAAGGACUUCAUCAUAACAUAUAAAUUUUAUUUAGGAAGAUGUAUUCUUCAUGAUGAAUCUUAUCAGAUAAUAUUUAUAAUUCAUAUACAUAUAUGGAACACAAUCAUCUACAACCUAGAUGAUUGACUUUAGGAUAUAAUUCCCAAU